Long non-coding RNA from Cuculus canorus (common cuckoo), 1901 nucleotides. RefSeq lists it as uncharacterized. The record is from RefSeq and is a predicted model, not a curated record. The transcript is spliced from 3 exons. NCBI's taxonomy places the organism in Eukaryota, Metazoa, Chordata, Aves, Cuculiformes, Cuculidae.
AGUCAUGGUUUUGUCUUAAAGGCCAUCAGAGUCAUGCCUGUUUUUUUCUGCUGAAUUUGGUGGGCCCUGAUUGCCAUUUUUUUCUUUAUAUUUUGUCUUCUUUGUCUCUAUCUCUCUCUUUCUGAGGUUUUAGUCCUUCCAGGAUCUCGGCUGAGGGAUCUCCACAACUGCCAAGAGCUAGGCCAUUUCCCUUUCCUUUCCUUUCUUGGUCUAAACCAGAAGCUGGUCUUCAAGGAGGCAAAGACCAUCAAAGUGCCCAAGAAUAAAUAGCAAUUCAUAACAGCCUUUGCUAAUAUGCUUAAUUUAGAGCUCUGGAGUCCAAGCCCUAGCCACAUCUCCUCUGUAUUGCAUUUUCUUAUGAAGCACUUGACCUAUUUACUCCUUUUUGACCUAGCAGAUUAUGAAAUAUAAGAUGGAAAAGACGUGACCAAAAUUAGAGGUUUAAAUAAAUAACUUUUAGUGUAUGAGAAGGCCAAAUUCACUGUAACUGUAAACAUGUAUAUAUAUAUUUUUUUUUUUACGUGAGCCAAAUCUGAACACCCUUUUACUUUGGGUAAAUUUGAAGGAAUCUGAGCUUCGCAUCUACUCUGUGUCUCAGUCCUGUGCCAAAUGAAAGCUCAAACUAGAACUUAGAAAGCCAAUACGUUAGCUUAACUUGUUCAGAUAAUUAUCCUCUGAACCAAACCUCCCAAGCAUGUCCUAUUGGGAAUUAUACUUAAUUAAAUUAAGAUUUCAGUCUUCUUCACCAAUAUCUUCAUCUCUGAGUAGGAGCCUUGGGCGAGGUUGAAAAUGAAACUUUCUUCCUUUGCUUCAAGGCAGCUUUGUCUAAAUCUCCUCCAGAAUCAAAAGCACCAUGUGCACCUAUUAAAACUCUCUCACCACAAGGUGCUUUGCCAGCAUUUCUGAAUACCCAGUUCCUACAGGUAACUCAGUGUGCUUUCAUCUUGUGUGAAUUGUAAAAGAAGGCAUCAGGGUUUAUUAAAGAGUUUGUGUUGCUAACGUGUCAUACAUCACGCCAUUAAUUAAGAGAAAUUCCUUUUUCCCCAGCUGGGUGGCUACAUAGUGCUGCCAGCAUGUAUAUAUUACCCGUGUCUUCCCACCCUGGCCUAACCCAAAAGCUGCAUGACUGAUUGUACCCCAGAGAAGCUCCAGCCUCCUCAGGUAAUUCGAUUGCUGAGUCUCCAAAACCAAGGAAUUAAACAAACCGGGCUCUGCUCCCCUUGUAAUUAGUAACAGAGCGAGCAGAGCAAAGUGGGGUGCGGCGUGUCCAUGUGUUCCCAAUCUCAGCCCACACAAUGAAAAUGUUUUAUUUCUGGGACAAUCUGAAGAAACCUCACAGGGAUCUGAGGGUUUUAUAUAUAUAUAUAUGCGUGUGUGUAAUAAUAAUAAUUAUUAUCCUCAUUAGAAAGUUAACUCCAAAGCUCUGCGACGUGCUUUAAAAAUUGGUGGGAGAGCUGAACGAUGUGCCAAAGAAUCUCUGCCCACACAUGACCUCUCGCAUCACUCCUCUUGCUCGGAGCAACGCUCGGACAGGGGCCAACCGAUGCCUCUGGCGCUGCUGUGCGGAGCACAAGGCUGACGUUCGCCUGCCUGCAGCUGCGACUGGACAGUUAAGCAGUCACAGAGGGUUUUAUUUAUCCAGCGUGGUCAAAGAAGCGGCACACACUCACCUAACAGCCCCCCAGAGUUCUGUGCUUCUCGCCAGUAUUCCUCCUCCAGGUUCCUGAGGAUUAGGGACACAAAAUGGGAUGCUGGACUGUUAUUUUACAGUACCCUUUGUGAUCUGCUGCCAGGUCGUCGCUUCUUGAGUGUGGGAGUUUCCUUAUGAUCUUUAGGAAGCGAAGGACAGACCUGCUGAAAAGACACCUAUAAGCGCACCAAUUACACAUGCUUUGGUUUUA